CCUACGGGAGGCAGCAGUAGGGAAUCUUCCACAAUGGGCGAAAGCCUGAUGGAGCAACGCCGCGUGGGUGAAGAAGGUCUUCGGAUCGUAAAACCCUGUUAUUAGAGAAGAAAGUGCGUGAGAGUAACUGUUCACGUUUCGACGGUAUCUACCCAGAAAGCCACGGCUAACUACGUGCCAGCAGCCGCGGUAAUACGUAGGUGGCAAGCGUUAUCCGGAUUUAUUGGGCGUAAGGGGAACGCAGGCGGUCUUUUAAGUCGGAUGUGAAAGCCUUCGGCUUAACCGGAGUAGUGCAUUGGAAACGGGAGGACUGAGUGCAGAAGAGGGGAGUAGAACUCCAGGUGGAGCGGUGAAAUGCGUAGAGAUAUGGAAGAACACCGGUGGCGAAAGCGGCCCUCUGGUCUGAGACUGACGCUGAGGUGCGAAAGCGUGGGUAGCAAACAGGAUUAGAUACCCCAGUAGUC
This 464-nucleotide ribosomal RNA is filed under the name uncultured bacterium. RNAcentral's name for it is "partial 16S ribosomal RNA". It matches the Rfam family "Bacterial small subunit ribosomal RNA", at positions 338 to 795 of the family's 1533-position model. The record is from RNAcentral.